GAUGAACGCUGGCGGCGUGCCUAAUACAUGCAAGUCGAGCGAACAGAUGAGGAGCUUGCUCCUCUGACGUUAGCGGCGGACGGGUGAGUAACACGUGGAUAACCUACCUAUAAGACUGGGAUAACUUCGGGAAACCGGAGCUAAUACCGGAUAACAUGUUGAACCGCAUGGUUCAACAGUGAAAGACGGUCUUGCUGUCACUUAUAGAUGGAUCCGCGCCGCAUUAGCUAGUUGGUAAGGUAACGGCUUACCAAGGCAACGAUGCGUAGCCGACCUGAGAGGGUGAUCGGCCACACUGGAACUGAGACACGGUCCAGACUCCUACGGGAGGCAGCAGUAGGGAAUCUUCCGCAAUGGGCGAAAGCCUGACGGAGCAACGCCGCGUGAGUGAUGAAGGUCUUCGGAUCGUAAAACUCUGUUAUUAGGGAAGAACAAAUGUGUAAGUAACUAUGCACGUCUUGACGGUACCUAAUCAGAAAGCCACGGCUAACUACGUG
RNAcentral lists this ribosomal RNA (497 nucleotides) under uncultured bacterium. RNAcentral's name for it is "partial 16S ribosomal RNA". It matches the Rfam family "Bacterial small subunit ribosomal RNA", at positions 28 to 507 of the family's 1533-position model. The record is from RNAcentral.